RNAcentral lists this long non-coding RNA (678 nucleotides) under Fukomys damarensis (Damara mole-rat). Its description in RNAcentral is "lncRNA (ENSFDAG00000033118.1)". Lineage: Eukaryota; Metazoa; Chordata; Mammalia; Rodentia; Bathyergidae. The record is from RNAcentral.
UUGGAGUCUUUCUUUGAUCAAUGGGAGGGAAAAAAACAUUAUGCUUAAAUAGCAGGACAAUUGUUCCUUAUUUAGCUACACUGGCCACAGGGAGAGUUAUAUAAAGCAGCAAUUACCUAUGAAGCAUGGGUUCUUGUGGACCCAGCUGAUCUUUUUAAUAACGUGGCCUUGAGCCCCUACAAACACCUGACCACCACAGUAAUGUGGGCACCAGGAGUCCUUCAGACUCAAGACCUCCAGGCAGGUCCUGAGCUGCCACCAGAGAAGUGAUGUGUGUACCUGUGCCUCCUACCCAUCUCCUUCCUCCUCUGCCAUCCUCACUUGGCACUGGACAGGGUUCAAGAAGAUUCCCCACAGUAGAGAUGAGGAACUGUGAUUUGCCCCACUCACGGGACAGGUUGUGGGUUCACUGAUUUUCUUCACAUAAAAAGAAUUUUCAGAAAGUGUCAGUUGGAGCACAGAGAUUUAUUAGGCAGACGUUUAAAAGUACACUCUCAAAGAAAUACAGCGCAGGCUCUCAAGAGGGAGAGAGGCCCUUGUGGCCUGGAGCUGGACUGCUCAGUGGUUUCUCCCAUCUCUGGAAGCCAGGUUGUUACAUGGAGGACCUCACUGAUCCCAGCCCAGGAGAAGACCAAAGUGAAUGUCCCAGCCACCAGCUGGGCGCAGAAGGACCAGCCA